Molecule: ribosomal RNA, 641 nt
Filed under: uncultured fungus
Lineage: Eukaryota; Fungi
Description: SSU rRNA
Rfam family: Eukaryotic small subunit ribosomal RNA
Source: RNAcentral
GCGUCGCUUGGUGAUCAUAAUAACUUCUCGAAUCGCAUGGCCUUGUGCCGGCGAUGCAUUCAUUCAAAUAUCUGCCCUAUCAACUUUCGAUGGUAGGAUAGUGGCCUACCAUGGUUUUAACGGGUAACGGGGAAUAAGGGUUCGAUUCCGGAGAGGGAGCCUGAGAAACGGUACCACAUCCAAGGAAGGCAGCAGGCGCGCAAAUUACCCAAUCCCAAUUCGGGGAGGUAGUGACAAUAAAUAACAAUAUAGGGCUCUUUUGGGUCUUAUAAUUGGAAUGAGUACAAUUUAAAUCACUUAACGAGGAACAAUUGGAGGGCAAGUCUGGUGCCAGCAGCCGCGGUAAUUCCAGCUCCAAUAGCGUAUAUUAGAGUUGUUGCAGUUAAAAAGCUCGUAGUUGAACCUUGGGCCUGGCUGGCCGGUCCGCCUCACCGCGUGCACUGGUCCGGCCGGGCCUUUCCUUCUGGGGAGCCGCAUGCCCUUCACUGGGUGUGUCGGGGAACCAGGACUUUUACCUUUGAAACAAUUAGAGUGUUCAAAGCAGGCCUUUGCUCGGAUACAUUAGCAUGGAAUAAUAGAAUAGGACGUGCGGUCCUAUUUUGGUGGUUUCAUAGGACCGGCGUAAUGAUUAAUAGGGGAUA